Molecule: ribosomal RNA, 253 nt
Filed under: uncultured cyanobacterium
Lineage: Bacteria; Bacillati; Cyanobacteriota
Description: partial 16S ribosomal RNA
Rfam family: Bacterial small subunit ribosomal RNA
Source: RNAcentral
UACGGGGGGUGCAAGCGUUGUCCGGAAUCAUUGGGCGUAAAGAGUUCGUAGGCGGCACGUAAAGUCUGGUGUUAAAGGCAGAGGCUCAACUUCUGUACGGCACUGGAUACUUGCGAGCUAGAAUGCGGUAGAGGUAAAGGGAAUUCCUGGUGUAGCGGUAAAAUGCGUAGAUAUAUGGAAGAACACCAGUGGCGAAGGCGGCCGCCUGGCCUGUUACUGACGCUGAGGCACGAAAGCGUGGGGAGCAAAUAGG